This is a non-coding RNA of Capsicum annuum, 87 nucleotides long. The record is from Rfam. Lineage: Eukaryota; Viridiplantae; Streptophyta; Magnoliopsida; Solanales; Solanaceae.
GGAGAGAUGGCCGAGUGGUUUAAGGCAUAGCAUUGGAAUUGCUAUGUAGGAUUUUGUUGACCGAGGGUUCGAAUCCCUCUCUUUCCG